This 401-nucleotide ribosomal RNA is filed under the name uncultured bacterium. RNAcentral's name for it is "bacterial SSU rRNA". It matches the Rfam family "Bacterial small subunit ribosomal RNA", at positions 30 to 417 of the family's 1533-position model. The record is from RNAcentral.
AGUGAACGCUGGCGGCAGGCCUAACACAUGCAAGUCGAGCGGCAGCGCGUCCGACCACCCUCGGGUGGUCGGAUGGCGGCGAGCGGCGGACGGGUGAGGAAUGCAUCGGAAUCUGCCUCGUUGUGGGGGAUAACGUAGGGAAACUUACGCUAAUACCGCAUACGACCUACGGGUGAAAGUGGGGGACCUUCGGGCCUCACGCGAUGAGAUGAGCCGAUGCCGGAUUAGCUAGUUGGCGGGGUAAAGGCCCACCAAGGCGACGAUCCGUAGCUGGUCUGAGAGGAUGAUCAGCCACACUGGAACUGAGACACGGUCCAGACUCCUACGGGAGGCAGCAGUGGGGAAUAUUGGACAAUGGGGGCAACCCUGAUCCAGCCAUGCCGCGUGAGUGAAAAAGGCCU